RNAcentral lists this ribosomal RNA (432 nucleotides) under uncultured bacterium. RNAcentral's name for it is "partial 16S ribosomal RNA". It matches the Rfam family "Bacterial small subunit ribosomal RNA", at positions 338 to 795 of the family's 1533-position model. The record is from RNAcentral.
CCUACGGGGGGCUGCAGUGGGGAAUUUUGGACAAUGGGCGAAAGCCUGAUCCAGCCAUUCCGCGUGAGUGAAGAAGGCCUUCGGGUUGUAAAGCUCUUUCGCAAGGGAAGCGGUACCUUGAUAAGAAGCACCGGCUAACUACGUGCCAGCAGCCGCGGUAAUACGUAGGGUGCGAGCGUUAAUCGGAAUUACUGGGCGUAAAGCGUGCGCAGGCGGUUUGGCAAGUCAGAUGUGAAAUCCCCGAGCUCAACUUGGGAACUGCGUUUGAAACUGCCAGACUAGAAUAUGUCAGAGGGGGGUAGAAUUCCACGUGUAGCAGUGAAAUGCGUAGAGAUGUGGAGGAAUACCAAUGGCGAAGGCAGCCCCCUGGGAUAAAUUGACGCUCAUGCACGAAAGCGUGGGGAGCAAACAGGAUUAGAUACCCUUGUAGUC